CCUACGGGAGGCAGCAGUAAGGAAUAUUGGUCAAUGGGCGGAAGCCUGAACCAGCCAUGCCGCGUGCAGGAAGACGGCCCUACGGGUUGUAAACUGCUUUUAUACGGGAAUAAACCUCGAUACGUGUAUCGAGCUGAAUGUACUGUAAGAAUAAGGAUCGGCUAACUCCGUGCCAGCAGCCGCGGUAAUACGGAGGAUCCAAGCGUUAUCCGGAUUUAUUGGGUUUAAAGGGUGCGUAGGUGGCCUGUUAAGUCAGGGGUGAAAGACGGUAGCUUAACUAUCGCAGUGCCCUUGAUACUGAUGGGCUUGAAUAAACUAGAGGUAGGCGGAAUGUGACAAGUAGCGGUGAAAUGCAUAGAUAUGUCACAGAACACCAAUUGCGAAGGCAGCUUACUAUGGUUUUAUUGACACUGAGGCACGAAAGCGUGGGGAUCAAACAGGAUUAGAUACCCUGGUAGUCCACGCCCUAAACGAUGAAUACUCGAUGUUGGCGAUAUACGGUCAGCGUCUAAGCGAAAGCGUUAAGUAUUCCACCUGGGGAGUACGCCCGCAAGGGUGAAACGUCAANAGAGUGAGCGNGAGAGNGCGACGACGACGACGAGGGAGGAGG
This 610-nucleotide ribosomal RNA is filed under the name uncultured bacterium. Its description in RNAcentral is "bacterial SSU rRNA". It matches the Rfam family "Bacterial small subunit ribosomal RNA", at positions 338 to 947 of the family's 1533-position model. The record is from RNAcentral.